Long non-coding RNA from Oreochromis aureus, 3294 nucleotides. RefSeq lists it as uncharacterized. The transcript is spliced from 3 exons. The record is from RefSeq and is a predicted model, not a curated record. Lineage: Eukaryota; Metazoa; Chordata; Actinopteri; Cichliformes; Cichlidae.
CCUGGUUAGGAAUCGGUGCUGUAGCAUUUGGCAAGGAGAAGUGUGACCGAGCUGUUCGGCAUGUUCGAGGAAGGAGCGCUCAUCCUCUCAAGUGGUGCUCACUCCUGGCCUUCCAGCCGGGCAGAUGGGAAAAUCAUAGGGCUGUCCGCAGGAUGGUGAAGAUCAUUUCAGGAUUAAUUUGUUUAUGGAGAAAAAGGGACAUGCUUGACGUCUCAUGGAACACAUCCUACAUUCCCAACCUGCUUUGCCUGGAUAAUUCCAGGUUAAAGCAAAAUCAAGGUCAAACCCCAUUCAUCCAGCUGGAUUUAAUCACUCAUCGAGCUGCUCUUCAUGGUCAUGGUUAUAAUUAUGAUGCUUUAGCAGUGCUCCAACUUCUUUUUUUUCUUUAUAAACACUGCAUAUACAGUAUGCCAGGAAAUACCAGAAUAGUAAUUUGUUUUCAUUUCUUUAAUCCUGAGGUGAAUUGUUUACUAUCUGGAUCAUUCAGUGAAAAUUCACCUCACCCCCUCAGAAUUAUUGAUUUUUUUCUUUUUUCUUCAAUAACUUCAGCAAAUAUAACAAAGUUCAUCAAAGUACAUAGCAGACAGCAGGGGAAAGAAAUUUGGCAAAUUUGGCAUUUUCCAGAUAUCCUUAUUUUUUCAGUAUUUUAAAUGCCUCAGAACUUAUUAAGUACAGGAGAUAAAUACGUGAAGUUUUCAGGGCUGAAAAAAAUAUUUGUUAUAUUUAAAAACUGCAGUCAGAUUAUUUUUAAACUCAGUCCAAGUGUCACAAUCUGAAGCUAUUUGAAGAAAUAGUUUUUGUUUUGUUUCAGUAUAAUGGCAGUAUAAUAGUGUCUUUCACUAUGAAUAACAAAACCGCAACAAUUUAAUGUGAUGUGAUGUAGUGUUUUUAGUGGCCGGUACACUUUCCAGGGGCAUAAGCGACCAGUCAAAUCAAGUUAUAGUAUCUGACAGGUCUCCUUUUAUACCUACUCUUUGAUACCGGGCUUGUCCUAUAGCUCCUUCUGUGUAAAAAUUAUUUUUGAACAGUUAGAAACUUGAAGCCUCAGUGCUUGUUUGCUCUCUUCUGAUAGUGUUGUUGGUCUGAAAGUUUGCGCUUCUGUUAUCAAAAUGUGAAAAAUAAUAACCUGCUGUCUCAGGAUCUAGUGCUUUUCUUUUCUACAGCACCAGGAAAAUGAUUGUGCCUGGAUGGUCUCGAUGGAUAUAUGCAAUCUCAACAUGUAGAACUAUUGCAAGCUUCCUCUUCAUCCUCUGCGAGUUCUCCUUCACUACAUCUACGUCCAACCUCCUAUCUCCAGCUUAUCCACUAUGCCUCCUCUGCAGAUGGCCAGACCAUCUCAGCUAUGUCACACUAACUUUGUCUCCAAACCCUUCAGCCUGAGCUGUCCUGAUGUACUCUGACCUCUCCAUUCUGAGCCUCUGUCAGAAGUAAAAGUUCAACAAGCUUCUUCAAUCCUAUUUGCCAGACAAGAAGCCAGUUAGCCCAGGAUUACCUGACCUAACCACGGCCGUCAUAGAGCUGGCAGCUUUACAAAGACCAUUAGAGCCUCUGCAAGUGUUUUACUCCCAGAGUGUGACUGGAACGUGGCACCCUACCUGCCGUCUUGGAUCUCAUUCAGGAGAUGCCCUCUCAGCUUCACGUUGGUUUCCAAGAAAUGUGAUGCAUUAAUUAUGAAUCUGGCUUUUCUUAAUAGAUCUUUUAAAAUAUGUUAGGCAUCCUGGCUCUGUUAAAUACAGAUCAAUAAGGUUUUACUACUAUAUGAAUGACUCUGUGGCAAAAAGGGAUCAUUAAGAAUACACUGUCUAUUGGCUUUGUCAGAGAAUAAUAUAUAUAAAAUACUAUUAUGUGAUUGUCUGAUGGAAAUUUCUGCUUUGGGUUCAGGAACACUUCUUCUUUAGUGAAAUGAGAUUUAGAAAUGCAAGACACCAAGAAAAUGAAGAAAAUAUAGAAACAGCAAUCAAAAAUGCCACUAUGUUUUCUGACCCAUGAUUAUAUAAGAGACUGAAAGUGGAAAUUUGUCCUAUGACCUGACAACUUUGGAUUUCCUCUUUGAAAUCAUGGACAGCAUAUCCUGACCAGCUGGCUUGAGGUCUCGUGGCUUGUAGCCCUCAUGGCUGUUUCUUUAUUUUUACUGUAUAGCCCCAAGAGUCCACCUUUCUGUCAGUCUCAGCAAAAAAAAAGAAAUAAACAUUUUGCCCAAAAUUGACGAUGUCAGUGGAUAAAAAAUAGACAGUAUAAGGCCUCGUAGAGUUAGCUGGGUUUGCGUUCUACCUUCAGACUCAAAUGACAGCUGAGAUGUGUUGUUAGUAUAAAUGGGCACACCCGUAAAGGAUGCAGGGUGCAAUUAUGUGUGAAGUCACAUGGCCACAGAUUAGAAAACCACAUUUAAAAGCCUUCAAAUUCAAGGUGUGGCUGUUUGAUGUGGAUGCUUUCCAGCAUAGUGUGAGCUUCCAGGUGCAGGGGAGUGCUGUCAUACCAUUAGCAUAGGUCAAGUGAAUGCAUGUAUGCCAGACGCAAGCACAUACAGCACUAAAAUCACAGCAUAUCUGUAGCAUCUAUUAGGUGGUGAAUUACUUUAGCAGCAGCAUUGAGAUCCUUUGCUGUUCCUGGUCUUGCACAAAGACCCUGUAAUGGGGAAGAUUAGGUGAGAUGGGCCUCUCUUAUCUCCCAAUGAAAUAAGACCUGUUUCGUAACUUUUAGCCGUAAUUCACCUUGAGUAAUCUGAAGCCAAACACACCACAGUUUGUGUCUCUUUUGGAUCAAAAGAAGCUGAAAUAAUGGGAUCCUCUGUGCAAAGGUGACUGCUGAUGCUCCUUCCCACUCCACAGACCCCACAUAACCCCGCACUGCUUUUCCUUGAAGGCAGAGCGAUUCUCCAGCUUUUUGCCACUGGGGGUCAGAAGCAGCUCAACUGAAAGUGGCUGGAAAUCCCAUUUCUCUCUCUGCGCCUCUGAUCCAAAACCAAAACUAACUCUGCUGUCAGCAGUGGGAAUAUCUCUCCGACAGCUGGGACAAACUAAUGCGACCCUCCUGGAAAUCCAGUUAUCUCUGAAAAGAGAGGACGAGGGUAAAGGAUGAUAGGGGAGACAGAGAGCUGAGAACCAUGAGUAGAUCUUUGUUUCCUAGUAAUGCAUGUAUUUUCUUAGGCAACAUUGCCUUAGAAACUGGUCACCCAUAUGUGAGACCUUAGUCACGCUGCAGAGCUUCUUAGGGCAAGUGUUUCUGAUCGAAUCCGACGUCCAGUUAUUCCAUCUUCUUUUCUUCUCUAAGUUACAGCGGCAGAGCCAUGUACAC